AACAGUACGCGCCACUUCAGUGCUAGCAGUCAGUCGAUGUUCGAUUGUCAGUGCACAUCCUACGGUCGCAACUUGACACGAGCCGCCAAGGGAGUGGUCAUUAUUGACGUAAUAAACGAGAAUUUCAUCAAGAUGCCACACGUUCUGAACGUCUUGUUGCAUCUAGUCAGUCUAGCGGCUUACAGCUUUACACUCUACUACGGCUACAAUAAAUUGCAUUUUCCUGCAUACAACAAUAAGUCCAUCGAUUUCGAUCCUGGCCAAAAUAAGUUUUUAACUAUGUGGAAUGUGAUUCUGCAAACAAUAUUCUUUUUGAUAUGUCUCCUAAACGAUUUAUUCGGCACAAAUGCUAUAAACCCCAAGAAGCCGCCUUUCACGCGGAAGUUAAAGGAUUACUUCCAUGCAAGUCUCGGGUUUCCAGUUGCUAUGUUCGUCGGUGUGACUUUCUGGGUGUUGAUGUUUGUGGAUCGUGAACUGGUAUUGCCGAAAGCAUUGGAUCCGUACUUCCCAUGGUGGUUGAACCAUUUAAUGCACACGAUGAUCAUGGUGACGACAAUAUUAGAAAUGAUAUUCGCGCCACGGCAAUAUCCUAAGCGAUCUCGCAGCCUCGGAAUACUCAUUAGCUUUAUGCUCACGUACUUAGUCUGGGUACACGUAAUCUACUAUAAAAGCGGCGUCUGGGUGUACCCCGUGAUGGACGUGCUGACGUUACCGCUACGGCUUGUGUUCUUCGCCGUGCUGCUGACAUUCUGCGUGAUUCUAUACUUCGUCGGGGAGACUCUGAACAACAUCAUCUGGGGUAACGAAUACACAAAGCAUAAAAAAUCUCACGCCAAAUCCAAGUAGCCUCGCCCAAGCGUUCCUAACGGGUGAUAAAAGCCACAUCUGCCUGCCACCUGCGGUGUUGGUGAAUAAAACAAAAAUGGAUCUUUUCUACACAUACCCUCCGUUGCAGCAUGCACAAUGUAUUAUUUGUCAGAUGUAAAUGUUAUUUAGAAUAUUAGUGCUGUGUAUGUGCAUGCGAGGCGCAGUUUAGGGUAUAACAAUGAGGCUCGCGUGAUCGUUAACCCGGCGCAAUGGAGAUAACAUGAAGGAACAGCAUGCAAGGUGCAUCACAUUUCCAUGAGAUCACGGACCAAGGGAGACUAAUCCGAAAAAAAUACGUAGCGGUAAUGGAGAGCGUGGAGCCAGAUUUGAAAACGUAGAAACGGCGGAUGGACGAGAG
RNA transcript from Cyphomyrmex costatus, 1225 nucleotides. It is a transcript of the gene named androgen-induced gene 1 protein, with no coding region annotated. NCBI's taxonomy places the organism in Eukaryota, Metazoa, Arthropoda, Insecta, Hymenoptera, Formicidae. The transcript is spliced from 6 exons. The record is from RefSeq and is a predicted model, not a curated record.